GACCGCGUCGUGCCAUUCAAAAGUGGUGAAGCCGUGACCCACAACAGUGUCCACAUAACCCGUGGCAAUGGCUGCAGCAGCACGGCGUGUAAUCUGGAUGGACAUGUCAGGGUACACGUGCACUUACUUCAAGAUGACGACACUCCACCUCAAGAACAGCCUCUCCUCAAUGAUAAGUAGCGAGAUUAAAUGAAAGGAAGAUAUCACAUCCGUAACCAGACUGAUACUGUGUUUUCCUUUCA
This 242-nucleotide long non-coding RNA is filed under the name Dermacentor andersoni. RNAcentral's name for it is "uncharacterized LOC126530598". The record is from RNAcentral. Lineage: Eukaryota; Metazoa; Arthropoda; Arachnida; Ixodida; Ixodidae.